UACAGAGGGUGCGAGCGUUGUUCGGAAUUAUUGGGCGUAAAGGGCGCGUAGGCGGUACGGUAAGUCACCUGUGAAAUCUCCUGGCUCAACUGGGAGCUUGCAGGCGAAACUGCCGUGCUGGAGUGUGGGAGAGGUGCGUGGAAUUCCUGGUGUAGCGGUGAAAUGCGUAGAUAUCAGGAGGAACACCUGUGGCGAAAGCGGCGCACUGGACCACAACUGACGCUGAGGCGCGAAAGCUAGGGGAGCAAACAGG
This 253-nucleotide ribosomal RNA is filed under the name uncultured bacterium. RNAcentral describes it as "partial 16S ribosomal RNA". It matches the Rfam family "Bacterial small subunit ribosomal RNA", at positions 524 to 776 of the family's 1533-position model. The record is from RNAcentral.